GACGAACGCUAGCGGCGUGCCUAAGGUAUGCAAGUCGAACGGGGGGCGCAAGCCCCACGUGGCGCACGGUCGAGUAACACGUAGACAACCUGCCUCCCAGUGGGGGAUACCCUCGCGAAAGCGGGGUUAAUACCNCAUACGCCCGGUCGGGGUCGCCUGACUGCGGCAAAGGCUUCGGUCGCUGGGAGAUGGGUCUGCGGCCUAUCAGCUCGCUGGUGAGGUAACGGCUCACCAGGGGCGACGACGGGUAGCGGGUCUGAGAGGAUGAUCCGCCGGACGGGGACUGAGACACGGCCCCGACUCUUCGGGAGGCAGCAAUGAGGAAUAUUGCGCAAUGGGCGACAGCCUGACGCAGCGACGCCGCGUGGGUGAGGAAGUCUUUC
Molecule: ribosomal RNA, 383 nt
Filed under: uncultured bacterium
Lineage: Bacteria
Description: bacterial SSU rRNA
Rfam family: Bacterial small subunit ribosomal RNA
Source: RNAcentral